Ictalurus punctatus (channel catfish) is the source of this 1313-nucleotide long non-coding RNA. RefSeq lists it as uncharacterized. The transcript has 2 exons. Lineage: Eukaryota; Metazoa; Chordata; Actinopteri; Siluriformes; Ictaluridae. The record is from RefSeq and is a predicted model, not a curated record.
UCGGUUCAGGCAUUCAGCGAUUUUAUCUCUGCAAGUCAUCAGUCGCUGUACUAUGAAGUCGACAGUACUGGUUGCAAUGGUAAAAUGUGUGGCGCAACUAGCAUUCCACUUUUGACGUUUGUUACCCAUUUUCAUAGCCACUGCUAGAAAGGGGUCAAACAUGCAGAAUAUCCUUGAAAAGCAAAGAAUAUGCAGGACCUGGAGGAUUUUUCUGAAGAACAGCGGGCAGUUUAACUGCUCAGGACAAAGAAAGGACUUACGAACAACUAUGACAAAACAAAAAAACAGUCAUGGAUCAUCCAGACUGACACACUGGACAAAGAGCUGGGGGCCGUUUUGUCCCAGGUGGUGGAAAGAGAGAGGAGCUCCCCGUGCUGUAUGUCACCCAGAAGCUCUCGAUGAGGGAGACAAAGUACAGCACCAUCAAGGAGGAGUGUAUGGCCAUCAAGUGGGUGGUCCUAACCCUCCAGUACUACUGGGGCACCCUUUCACCUUCUGUUCCUAUCACGCCCCGCUCCAAUGGCUCCAUCACAUGAGGGACGGAUGAUUGGAUUACCUCUCCUGCCUGGGGGUGGAGUCAGCUGCAGGCCAGUGUUGGGCGGUGGGGGUAUGUAGAGGUGGGUGCAUGGUCAAUCAUCAGCUGUAGACGGAGAGGAGGUAGGCCGAUCCGGCAGGUAAUGCGUAAUGAUUUUCACCUGUGUCAUAUUACCACCAGUCUACUUAUUCGUGUCUGUUUGUGCUUUCAGUGCCUCCCAUAACCCGUGACCGAGAGCGAGAGAAACAGAGUGUGAGUCCGCUUGGCAGUACUUGUGAGACAUACACACACCAAGACAUGUGAACUUGAACCUAACAGAGCGAAAGCAGAGAGUGUUUGUUUUCGGUUGAGUUUUUGAAAGUGCGCUGAAAAGCACGGUCUGAAUAAACAUGAGCCCGGAGCUUAGUUAAGAUUCUGCCUGUCACUUGAGUCUUCUUCCACGCCCUCACACACUGGGGUUCUACAACCACAUAUUAAUUUCUGUUUUGAUAUUUAUAAUAUUGUUUUGAUGGACAGGUAAUGAAUAACUGAAUAAGUGAGGUUUUCAUUAAAGCUGCAGUACUGAACUUUUGCCUCUCUAUCGCCAUCUCUAUUUGAAAAAUGGUGCUAUGAAAAAUUUUGCCCCAUCCUGAUUUCUUCUGUUUUUGUGUAAAUCUCAUACUAAAUUGUUUCAGAAAUUAAUACAAAAUCUAAGUUAAAACAAAGGGAACCUGAGUAGACACAAAAUAUAGUUUUAAAUGACAGUGUUAUUUAUUGAAGCAAAAACUUUACCAACUGG